UACAGGUUUAUGCCAUCAUGCCUGGCUAAGUUUUUAAAAAAUUUUUUGAGGCCAGGCCCAGUGGCUCAUGCCUGUA
RNAcentral lists this microRNA precursor (76 nucleotides) under Otolemur garnettii (small-eared galago). Its description in RNAcentral is "miRNA (ENSOGAG00000023420.1)". The record is from RNAcentral. Lineage: Eukaryota; Metazoa; Chordata; Mammalia; Primates; Galagidae.